RNAcentral lists this ribosomal RNA (496 nucleotides) under uncultured bacterium. Its description in RNAcentral is "partial 16S ribosomal RNA". It matches the Rfam family "Bacterial small subunit ribosomal RNA", at positions 28 to 506 of the family's 1533-position model. The record is from RNAcentral.
GAUGAACGCUGGCGGCGUGCCUAAUACAUGCAAGUCGAGCGAACAGACGAGGAGCUUGCUCCUCUGACGUUAGCGGCGGACGGGUGAGUAACACGUGGAUAACCUACCUAUAAGACUGGGAUAACUUCGGGAAACCGGAGCUAAUACCGGAUAAUAUAUUGAACCGCAUGGUUCAAUAGUGAAAGACGGUUUUGCUGUCACUUAUAGAUGGAUCCGCGCCGCAUUAGCUAGUUGGUAAGGUAACGGCUUACCAAGGCAACGAUGCGUAGCCGACCUGAGAGGGUGAUCGGCCACACUGGAACUGAGACACGGUCCAGACUCCUACGGGAGGCAGCAGUAGGGAAUCUUCCGCAAUGGGCGAAAGCCUGACGGAGCAACGCCGCGGGAGUGAUGAAGGUCUUCGGAUCGUAAAACUCUGUUAUUAGGGAAGAACAAAUGUGUAAGUAACUAUGCACGUCUGGACGGUACCUAAUCAGAAAGCCACGGCUAACUACGU